Molecule: ribosomal RNA, 251 nt
Filed under: uncultured prokaryote
Description: partial 16S ribosomal RNA
Rfam family: Bacterial small subunit ribosomal RNA
Source: RNAcentral
ACGGAGGGUGCAAGCGUUAAUCGGAAUUACUGGGCGUAAAGCGCACGCAGGCGGUCGGAUGAGUCGGAUGUGAAAGCCCUGGGCUUAACCGGGAGAGGACGUGCGAGACUGUCGGACUAGAGGCAGGUAGAGGCAAGUGGAAUUCCGGGUGUAGUGGUGAAAUGCGUAGAGAUCCGGAGGAACCCCGGUGGCGAAGGCGACUUGCUGGGCCUGAACUGACGCUCAGACGCGAAAGCAUGGGGAGCGAACGG